This is a long non-coding RNA of Peromyscus leucopus (white-footed mouse), 526 nucleotides long. RefSeq lists it as uncharacterized. The record is from RefSeq and is a predicted model, not a curated record. The transcript has 2 exons. NCBI's taxonomy places the organism in Eukaryota, Metazoa, Chordata, Mammalia, Rodentia, Cricetidae.
ACACACACGAUAACACGUCUCCCAUGUUCCCCAGCCACACCUCCUGAGAUGUCUGCCUGUCUUCUGCAGGGCACUGCCCCCAUGAGGGACCCUGAGCAUCAGGAAGAGGGCACCUCAUUGGCGCCCACCCUGACCCUGGCGCAUCUCUAACCUGACCUCUGCACUCGACCCAGCUCAUCGCAGCGGUGCGUGAUACCCACGUCAUCCUUGACUGGGCUGCCGCAGGGCAUGUCUGCUGGCGCUGUCCUGGGCACCUACCCACUUCCUCCCAUCGUGGGCGGCAGCCUUGCUGACAUCAGCCAGCUUAGGGCCUGCCUGGCACCUCACAGAAAGGAAGGAAGCAAUCUGUCUCUACCACAGGAGCCAACAGGAGAGGGGGACCAUAGCAUUUCUGAGGACUGAGAACAGAGGACCUGGCCCUGCGGUAUUCUGAGCAUGCCAGGAGCUGUCACUUAGUCCUCAGGACGACCAUCAUCCCAUGUGACAGGUGAGAUUGGCCCCAAACCCCUGCUCUCAGCCUGCCCUC